AGUGUUGCUACAGAUAUAAUGCAAGUCGAGCGAACCGAUUAAGAGCUUGCUCUUAAGAAGUUAGCGGCGGACGGGUGAGUAACACGUAGGUAACCUGCCUAUAAGACUGGGAUAACUCCGGGAAACCGGGGCUAAUACCGGAUAACAUUUUGCACCGCAUGGUGCGAAAUUGAAAGGCGGCUUCGGCUGUCACUUAUAGAUGGACCUGCGGCGCAUUAGCUAGUUGGUGAGGUAACGGCUCACCAAGGCGACGAUGCGUAGCCGACCUGAGAGGGUGAUCGGCCACACUGGGACUGAGACACGGCCCAGACUCCUACGGGAGGCAGCAGUAGGGAAUCUUCCGCAAUGGACGAAAGUCUGACGGAGCAACGCCGCGUGAACGAUGAAGGCUUUCGGGUCGUAAAGUUCUGUUGUUAGGGAAGAACAAGUGCUAGUUGAAUAAGCUGGCACCUUGACGGUACCUAACCAGAAAGCCACGGCUAACUACGUGCCAGCAGCCGCGGUAAUACGUAGGUGGCAAGCGUUAUCCGGAAUUAUUGGGCGUAAAGCGCGCGCAGGUGGUUUCUUAAGUCUGAUGUGAAAGCCCACGGCUCAACCGUGGAGGGUCAUUGGAAACUGGGAGACUUGAGUGCAGAAGAGGAAAGUGGAAUUCCAUGUGUAGCGGUGAAAUGCGUAGAGAUAUGGAGGAACACCAGUGGCGAAGGCGACUUUCUGGUCUGUAACUGACACUGAGGCGCGAAAGCGUGGGGAGCAAACAGGAUUAGAUACCCUGGUAGUCCACGCCGUAAACGAUGAGUGCUAAGUGUUAGAGGGUUUCCGCCCUUUAGUGCUGAAGUUAACGCAUUAAGCACUCCGCCUGGGGAGUACGGCCGCAAGGCUGAAACUCAAAGGAAUUGACGGGGGCCCGCACAAGCGGUGGAGCAUGUGGGUUUAAUUCGAAGCAACGCGAAGAACCUUACCAGGUCUUGACAUCCUCUGACAACCCUAGAGAUAGGGCUUCCCCUUCGGGGGCAGAGUGACAGUGUGCAUGGAUUGUCGUCAGCUCGUGUCGUGAGAUGUUGGG
This 1063-nucleotide ribosomal RNA is filed under the name Bacillus pseudomycoides. RNAcentral's name for it is "bacterial SSU rRNA". It matches the Rfam family "Bacterial small subunit ribosomal RNA", at positions 41 to 1079 of the family's 1533-position model. The record is from RNAcentral. Lineage: Bacteria; Bacillati; Bacillota; Bacilli; Caryophanales; Bacillaceae.